This 1550-nucleotide ribosomal RNA is filed under the name Enterobacter asburiae. RNAcentral describes it as "bacterial SSU rRNA". It matches the Rfam family "Bacterial small subunit ribosomal RNA". Lineage: Bacteria; Pseudomonadati; Pseudomonadota; Gammaproteobacteria; Enterobacterales; Enterobacteriaceae. The record is from RNAcentral. RNAcentral also lists the same sequence under 1 other name.
AAAUUGAAGAGUUUGAUCAUGGCUCAGAUUGAACGCUGGCGGCAGGCCUAACACAUGCAAGUCGAGCGGUAGCACAGAGAGCUUGCUCUCGGGUGACGAGCGGCGGACGGGUGAGUAAUGUCUGGGAAACUGCCUGAUGGAGGGGGAUAACUACUGGAAACGGUAGCUAAUACCGCAUAACGUCGCAAGACCAAAGAGGGGGACCUUCGGGCCUCUUGCCAUCAGAUGUGCCCAGAUGGGAUUAGCUAGUAGGUGGGGUAACGGCUCACCUAGGCGACGAUCCCUAGCUGGUCUGAGAGGAUGACCAGCCACACUGGAACUGAGACACGGUCCAGACUCCUACGGGAGGCAGCAGUGGGGAAUAUUGCACAAUGGGCGCAAGCCUGAUGCAGCCAUGCCGCGUGUAUGAAGAAGGCCUUCGGGUUGUAAAGUACUUUCAGCGGGGAGGAAGGCGAUAAGGUUAAUAACCUUGUCGAUUGACGUUACCCGCAGAAGAAGCACCGGCUAACUCCGUGCCAGCAGCCGCGGUAAUACGGAGGGUGCAAGCGUUAAUCGGAAUUACUGGGCGUAAAGCGCACGCAGGCGGUCUGUCAAGUCGGAUGUGAAAUCCCCGGGCUCAACCUGGGAACUGCAUUCGAAACUGGCAGGCUAGAGUCUUGUAGAGGGGGGUAGAAUUCCAGGUGUAGCGGUGAAAUGCGUAGAGAUCUGGAGGAAUACCGGUGGCGAAGGCGGCCCCCUGGACAAAGACUGACGCUCAGGUGCGAAAGCGUGGGGAGCAAACAGGAUUAGAUACCCUGGUAGUCCACGCCGUAAACGAUGUCGACUUGGAGGUUGUGCCCUUGAGGCGUGGCUUCCGGAGCUAACGCGUUAAGUCGACCGCCUGGGGAGUACGGCCGCAAGGUUAAAACUCAAAUGAAUUGACGGGGGCCCGCACAAGCGGUGGAGCAUGUGGUUUAAUUCGAUGCAACGCGAAGAACCUUACCUACUCUUGACAUCCAGAGAACUUUCCAGAGAUGGAUUGGUGCCUUCGGGAACUCUGAGACAGGUGCUGCAUGGCUGUCGUCAGCUCGUGUUGUGAAAUGUUGGGUUAAGUCCCGCAACGAGCGCAACCCUUAUCCUUUGUUGCCAGCGGUUAGGCCGGGAACUCAAAGGAGACUGCCAGUGAUAAACUGGAGGAAGGUGGGGAUGACGUCAAGUCAUCAUGGCCCUUACGAGUAGGGCUACACACGUGCUACAAUGGCGCAUACAAAGAGAAGCGACCUCGCGAGAGCAAGCGGACCUCAUAAAGUGCGUCGUAGUCCGGAUUGGAGUCUGCAACUCGACUCCAUGAAGUCGGAAUCGCUAGUAAUCGUAGAUCAGAAUGCUACGGUGAAUACGUUCCCGGGCCUUGUACACACCGCCCGUCACACCAUGGGAGUGGGUUGCAAAAGAAGUAGGUAGCUUAACCUUCGGGAGGGCGCUUACCACUUUGUGAUUCAUGACUGGGGUGAAGUCGUAACAAGGUAACCGUAGGGGAACCUGCGGUUGGAUCACCUCCUUACCUUAAAGAA